CACCACCACCACCACCAUCAUCAUCACUACCACCACCACCACCAUCACCACCACCAUCACCACCACCACCACCACCACCACCACUACCAUCACCACCACCACCACCACUACCAUCACCACCACCACCACCACCAUGGAGCGGAGCUGCUCUCCUUCUACUCUUCGAGGGCUUCCUUCUGUUCAAUCUCUAGGAAGCUUUCCUGCCCUCACCAACCUGGUCUCCCACACCUUCCUGUCCUCCUCCCUCUGCUGCCGCUCCUGUCCUUUGCCAGUGUCCCCUCUAUCCGUGCCUGCCAUCCCCCUGUCUGGCUCAUGGCCCAGACCUUUCAUUUUCCUAUCCCCUCACCUCAAACAUAGCCUCUAAUUACCUCCAAAUGCAGAUGGCGACCAGUCCAGAACUCUGCCCCCACCCCCCACUGGCCCAGACCUCUGUAGCCAGUGGCCUGGUGUUUCACAGGCACCUGAAACUCAACUCCUCCCAGAGGAUCCUUGUUGUUUCACCUUCUUCUUCCAGCUCUUUCUUCUGCAGGGAAGGAGGAGGGAACCAUUCAUGCAGAACCUGUAGGUUCUAACCUAACCUCCACAUCCCAUUUUCCUGUGUCCUAAACAUCUCCUGGGUCCAUUACCCUCUUCCAAACAGCCUCCUGACCUUUAUCUACCCUUGCCCUUCAACUCCAUUCUGAGCAAUAUGUCAUUCUGACAUGAGAUCCUUCAAGGGCGCCCCAUUACCCUCAGGAAAAAGUCCAAAUGGUUUAGGAGGUGUUCAAGGUCCUGUUGGCUUGGGCUCCUCCCUCUCCUUAUGCUACCCAGAUCCUGCGGCUCCAGCCAGCUUUAUUGAAAUGGCACCACUCGCAGGCUGUUCGCUGGCCUGUAAGAACCCUUGUUUGCAGGCUAAAAGCGGACUCCAAGUCAUCCUACAGGCCUCUGUCCAGACUUCUCUGCGUCCAGGGAACCCUCCCUGGCUCCCCCAAGGCUGUCCAGGCUGUCCCUAACACCAAGCACGCAUGCGCGCUUCUCUAGCACUGUGAAUUAAGCCGCAGGGCCUUUGUCCACUGUUUUUAAUCUUUGGAUUGAAAUCCCUGCAUCCUAGGCUUCUAGAAGUGCUGUCCGUGCAAGAACCUCGCCUGUCUUGCUCCCAUUGCACACCUAGAACCUGGAACGGAAAGUGCCGGGUUCUGCCAAAUAGUGGAAACUGGGAGGAGAAAACCCAACUGGCUGUCCUGACUCCUGCUCCCGCCCUCUGCCUCUCCGCGUGGUCUCUAGAGGACCAGGAAUGGGGACAAGGUGAUGCUGGUCACCUGGACCUGGAAAGCUCAAUCCAAAGAUUUUGACAGAUUUACACGGAGAGGUUGUGGAAGCAUGAAGAUGUUCUGGAGAUGAGGGAUCUGGGUCAAAGCUGCCAUGUCUCUCUUCCUGCUAAAGGGACGGACCCGCGGAUGCUGGAACUCCUAGAAGUUAGAUAGACAGUGUCCCUCCGCUCCCCAACACACACACACACAGGGCACACUUCUGUCUCCACUCCUGUUUCCAGAGCAGUGACUUUCACUUAUGUAUGUAUGUAUUUUGUGGUACAAGGUAUGGAACCCAGGAGCCAUCCAUCACCAAGCUACAUCCCCAGCCCUGUUCAUUUUUUGAGACAGGGUCUUACUAAAUUGCUCAGACUGUCUCAAACGUGCGAUCCUCCUGCCUCAGCUCCCUGAGCAGCUAGGAUUAUAGGCCUGGGCCGCUGUGCCAGCUCCGUUUUAAAAUCACAAGUCACACUAAGAAAUGGCAUUUCAUGUCUCAACCCAUUACUUAUCUGAGAGUCUGCCCAUGCAGAUACACAGAAGCAAAAACUCUCCAAAGCCCUACAUUCCUACAUUAUGUGUUUGCGUUUUAUGCUACUUUUUGUUUUGUUAUCAGGAAUUGAACCUAGGGAAGCUUUUCCUCUGAGCCACAUGCCCAGCCCUUUUUUAUCUGUUACCUGAGACAGGGUCUCACUAAGUUGCUUAAGAUGCUUAGGGCUUUGCUAUAUUGCUGAGGCUGGCCUGGAACUUGCAAUCCUCCUGCCUGACCUCCCAAGUUGUUGGGAUUCAGGUAUGUGCCACCAUGCAUGGCUUUUUUUUUUUUUUUUCCUUUAAACUUUUUGGUGCUGGGGAUUGAACCCAAAAGCCUUCCACAUGGCAAGCACAUGAUCUACCACUGAAGACUAUACCCCCAGCUCUAUGAAGCCAGAUUUAAAAUUAGGUAGUCAGUGUAGUUAGGUAAAUCGGGUCUAAUAUCCAGUGAAAUCUAAAAUGGAGGCCAUGUUGAGAAUGAAUUCCUGGAAAAAGUUGAGCAACUCUCGGAAUGUUAAUGAAGUCCAGGAAACAGCCCCCAACAGAUUUGAAGAUAGCCCAUCCCAAAGAAAUGUUAAUGAACAGCAAACUUGAAGAUGCUGACUCGGAAGUGCCCAGAUUACUUCUUUGGCCCACCUGUGUCCCAACCCUUGGGCCUUCCCACCUACAUUCCAUCACCAAAAACUAUAAAAAGGGGAACACAUUUGCCCUUCAAUGGAUUCCAUCUCUUGGGUUCCCUUCUUCCUCCAGGAGAAGUCUUUUCUGCUGUCCUUUAAUAAACUUCUAAUUUUCCACUCUGA
Molecule: long non-coding RNA, 2617 nt
Organism: Marmota monax (woodchuck)
Lineage: Eukaryota; Metazoa; Chordata; Mammalia; Rodentia; Sciuridae
Exons: 2
Source: RefSeq, a predicted model, not a curated record